This 2195-nucleotide long non-coding RNA is filed under the name Capra hircus (goat). RNAcentral describes it as "lncRNA (ENSCHIG00010019897.1)". The record is from RNAcentral. Lineage: Eukaryota; Metazoa; Chordata; Mammalia; Artiodactyla; Bovidae.
GUCAGAUAAUCCUUCUCCUGGACGUGAGCCUCAUGCCGCCCCUUAGCCGCAUCUUACCAGACCUCACUCUGCCCCUCGGGCAGGUGCGGCCGGGACAGGUGUUCCGGAACCGCCUGGCCCGGGGUCGCCUUUGGUCCCGCCGCGCCCUGCCGCGCGGAGUACGCCGGGAGCUGCCAGCUUCGCCCCGCCCCUCAGAGCACCGCCCCGCCCCUCAGAGCACCGCCCCGCCCCUCAGAGCACCGCCCCGCGCGUCAAGCAUGCCGGGAGUGGGCAGACGCACCUCCUCGCGGGCUGCUCGGCGCGCGGAGCUUGCCGGGAGAGAGGGAUGUGGGGAACAGGGGAUUCCCCCACCUCUCCUUCGGCAGUAAGCGUGUCCCCAGAAGCCAUUUAUGUGCCAAAGCAGCAGACACAAGAGUGACUUCAAAGCACAUGGACAUACCCCACUCCACCCAUACAUUAGUGAUCCACCACCUUUACCUUCCCCCGUAGCCACACCCCAAAUGCCCCUGACUACUCCCCCGGGGGAUGUGUAACAGGAGGGAGCGGCUCUGAGUGAUGGCAGCUGUUGGCGGGGGCGGAGUUCAAGGGAAGACGGGUGGGCACCUUUGCACUGCCAAGCCACCGGUUCACUCUAAUUUUGCCUCGUUCAUUUGGUGGGGUUGCACCUGCUCCUCCUCCUGCCCCUUCCGCCACCGUCCUCCAGCACACACAGGGAAGUUCCUGGGUUUGUGGGUGCCCCCCCAAAGCCCUCCUCUGGACAAGGGGAGGGUCCUUGGCCCUGAGCAGAGUUCUCCUGGGGGCCCUCCCCACCCUGUCCACACGCAGCCUUGGUCAAGCUGAUCCUUGCGCCACAGGCCGCUUCCUGAGGAACAGAAGGGUGGGAGGANNNNNNNNNNNNNNNNNNNNNNNNNNNNNNNNNNNNNNNNNNNNNNNNNNNNNNNNNNNNNNNNNNNNNNNNNNNNNNNNNNNNNNNNNNNNNNNNNNNGGCCGCUUCCUGAGGAACAGAAGGGUGGGAGGACCUGGUCAGGUCCCAGGCCAGCUGCCCUUAACCUGUCUGUCCACUGACAGGCUGGGUUUGCGGGGAGAUGCGGGAGGGGAAGGGUAGAAGAAAACUGGGAAGAAAGGCGAGUGGGCCUUGGCUGGGGCGGAGGGGGGGCGGGGGGAGGGCGGUGGGGUGGGAACAGGCGCCGGUCCUCUGGCUGACGUGCUGUGUGACACUGGGGAGGCCGCCUACGUUACCUCUCUGAGCCUCAGUUUCCCCUUGAAAGUAAGGCUGCUAGUCCCUCCCUUGCAGGGUUGUUGUGAGGAUAACACGAGGUAGCGUCGGGGGAAAUUGCUUUGGAGAUUGGGAAAGGUCACUCGAGCUGCAGAGCCUCUGGCUAAGGGGGACAGGAGCCCCGGAGGGCCCCAGACACAGGCCCCAGGGGCCUUGCCUGGGAGGGGAAGCCGCUCGGGCCUUUACUCAAAGCUGACCCUGCCUUAGGCGGAGCAGCAGCUGUGCUGCCCGCCAGAGCCCUGGCCCGAGCUCGGGGGCAGGGGGCGCGGCUCCCCAGGCUGCAGGAAAAGCCUGGAAAACAGAGGGGCUGCUGUAGGGGCAUAGCCCUGGGGCUGCAGAGGCUGGGGGGCCUGACAGUCGGCACAGCAGCGAUCGGGCAGCCGUGGGGCCCGGCCGGGCCGUGAGGAGCAGGGGGCCACCUCCACAGGGGGCAGCGGGGUGGGGCUGGUGGGCCCCAGUGGGGUGGGCACAGGGCCGGCUUGCUGCCCCCCCCACGAUGGAUGGUCUUCCGCACCUGGUACCUGGCGUGAGCCCCUCCGAUCCCACCCUGCUCCCUGUCGCCUCCGCGAUCUGAACACAUUCUGCCUCUGUUGGUGUGUGCAGAGAGGCCCCGUUAAGAAACCAAACAAGCUGACUUGAAGUGAUAGUUUGGGGUUCGUCUCCAGCAGAGGAAACUGGUGACAACGGGUUGAGGGGGCGACAGUGGUCAGAGGGGCUUUGCAGCAUGAAGAGGGGGAGGAGGCGGCCGGGGGUGGGGGGCGUGGCGAGGCGGCGGGAGGACCGGUCUGCAGCCGGCCUGGGGCCUGGGGCGCUGCCCAGAGACCCUCACCUGCCGGGCACUUUGCUCCACUUCACUCCAACCGGAGCAAGGAGGGCCGUGGGAACCCACGCGGCAGGGCGGGCCAGGUCCCCAGAGAGG